CCGAUCAUCUUGUAGAGUCCGAUAGUCGAAUAGUGUCCGAUGCAUUUAGUUGAUGACAGGUCGGUCAUCCAUUGCCCGAUUCUUUGUCGGGCAUAUGCGUCGUGACGUGUGAUAAAUGGUGGUAAGCCGAAUAUCCUUCGAUCGAUCGUGACCUGGUCGGUAUGUCGCGAAUGCGACGUUGGUCAUGUUGGCGUUUUGCCUUUCUUGGCCGGAGCUAAG
RNAcentral lists this long non-coding RNA (219 nucleotides) under Elaeis guineensis (African oil palm). RNAcentral's name for it is "long non-coding RNA (EGUI_LNC072630)". The record is from RNAcentral. Lineage: Eukaryota; Viridiplantae; Streptophyta; Magnoliopsida; Arecales; Arecaceae.